GUGUUGACUGAGACAAUACAUGACUUGCCAGAAGCCACAAAGCCAGAAAGCGGACACGGUUGCUAUUGAAAUCCUUUGUAUCUUUCUCAAAUGCCUAGGUAGACCAAAUCAUCGUCAUUGUGAAUGGAUUCCUGGACCUUUCUGUGGGGCCACCCUAGCUGUGGUAAUCAGAGUCAAAGGAUGCACAGGAUCAGACACACAAAAUCAUCCAGUAAAGAGGGCAGUAAGAAGUCAGGAGUUUGGAAAGCAGUGAAAUCAGUGAAGCAAACUAAACAAAAACUAAGCUGUCAUCAGCAUGGAUGAUGGAAAUCAUAACCCAGGUGAAAGCAGGACUGGAAGGUCAAAGGUAAGUUAUGAUGGUCAUCACCAUAACACCAGACAUCAGGACAAGAAGAGUAUCAUGAC
Molecule: long non-coding RNA, 405 nt
Filed under: Dasypus novemcinctus (nine-banded armadillo)
Lineage: Eukaryota; Metazoa; Chordata; Mammalia; Cingulata; Dasypodidae
Description: lncRNA (ENSDNOG00000051259.1)
Source: RNAcentral